CCGUCUUGAAACACGGACCAAGGAGUCUAACAUGUGCGCGAGUCAUUGGGUCACACUAAACCUAAAGGCGCAAUGAAAGUAAAGGCAGCCUCGGGUUUGCCUAGGUAGGAUCCUUUUUUUCUCUUUUGAGGGGAGGCGCACUACCGGCCCGUCUCGUCCGCGUUGCGGUGAGGCGGAGCGAGAGCGUACACGUUGGGACCCGAAAGAUGGUGAACUAUGCCUGAGUAGGACGAAGCCAGAGGAAACUCUGGUGGAAGUCCGUAGCGAUUCUGACGUGCAAAUCGAUCGUCGAACUUGGGUAUAGGGGCGAAAGACUAAUCGAACCGUCUAGUAGCUGGUUC
Molecule: ribosomal RNA, 341 nt
Filed under: Mopalia ciliata
Lineage: Eukaryota; Metazoa; Mollusca; Polyplacophora; Chitonida; Mopaliidae
Description: eukaryotic LSU rRNA
Rfam family: Eukaryotic large subunit ribosomal RNA
Source: RNAcentral